CYYCYCUGGCCCRGGKGGKAGAUCGGAUWUYUUKYSCCRURRURWARMMCUUAGAGUUUGAUCCUGGCUCAGAACGAACGCUGGCGGCGUGCUUAACACAUGCAAGUCGAACGUGAUCCAGAGCUUGCUCCGGUGAAAGUGGCGCACGGGUGAGUAACGCGUGGAUAAUCUGCCCUGGUAUCUGGGAUAACAUCUCGAAAGGGGUGCUAAUACCGGAUAAGCCUACGGUCUCUUCGGAGUCUGCAGGAAAAGGUGGCCUCUAUUUAUAAGCUACCGUAUCAGGAUGAGUCCGCGUACCAUUAGCUAGUUGGUGGGGUAAUGGCCCACCAAGGCUACGAUGGUUAGCUGGUCUGAGAGGAUGAUCAGCCACACUGGAACUGAGACACGGUCCAGACUCCUACGGGAGGCAGCAGUGGGGAAUUUUGCGCAAUGGGGGAAACCCUGACGCAGCAACGCCGCGUGAGUGAUGAAGGCUUUCGGGUCGUAAAGCUCUGUCAGAGGGGAAGAAAUGAGUCUGGCUAAUAUCCAGAUUUCUUGACGGUACCCUCAAAGGAAGCACCGGCUAACUCCGUGCCAGCAGCCGCGGUAAUAC
This 592-nucleotide ribosomal RNA is filed under the name uncultured Geobacteraceae bacterium. Its description in RNAcentral is "bacterial SSU rRNA". It matches the Rfam family "Bacterial small subunit ribosomal RNA", at positions 1 to 526 of the family's 1533-position model. The record is from RNAcentral. Lineage: Bacteria; Pseudomonadati; Thermodesulfobacteriota; Desulfuromonadia; Geobacterales; Geobacteraceae.